AAUCCUGUCGGGUAAGGUCUAACCAACCGCCCGUACCGAGUCUUUGGAGUCGAAGCGGUAACGUCAGAUUUAAGUGUAGGGCAGGGAGCAACAGAGCCGAAACGAAAGUGAAGUAAUUGAGCUGGGAAAUUAUUAUGAGGCCGGAAAUGGUCGAUACGUUUUUUCUCGUAGCAGACAACACUCCUGUAACCGAUAUGGUAAGGAUACAGGGACGUCCCCCAGUCUGAGAGC
This 231-nucleotide non-coding RNA is filed under the name uncultured Muricomes sp. Lineage: Bacteria; Bacillati; Bacillota; Clostridia; Lachnospirales; Lachnospiraceae. The record is from RNAcentral.